GACGAACGCUGGCGGUAUGCUUAACACAUGCAAGUCGAACGAGAAGUUUUUUAUUGAACCUUCGGGGGAUAUAAGAGACAGACAGUGGCGAACGGGUGAGUAACGCGUGGGCAACCUACCUAUCGGAGCGGGAUAGCCUCGAGAAAUCGGGAGUAAAACCGCAUAACACGGAUAUAUCGCAUGAUGAAUCCGUCAAAACUCCGGUGCCGAUAGAUGGGCCCGCGUCUGAUUAGCUAGUUGGUAAGGUAAGGGCUUACCAAGGCAACGAUCAGUAGCCGGUCUGAGAGGGCGAACGGCCACACUGGAACUGAGACACGGUCCAGACUCCUACGGGAGGCAGCAGUGGGGAAUAUUGCGCAAUGGGGGCAACCCUGACGCAGCAAUACCGCGUGAGUGAAGAAGGUUUUCGGAUCGUAAAGCUCUGUUAUUGGGGAAGAAGCAGUGACGGUACCCAAUGAGGAAGUCCCGGCUAACUACGUGCCAGCAGCCGCGGUAAUACGUAGGGGACGAGCGUUGUCCGGAAUCACUGGGCGUAAAGGGCGCGUAGGCGGUUUUAUAAGUCAGAUGUGAAAGGUACCGGCUCAACCGGUGACGUGCAUUUGAAACUGUAAGACUUGAGUACUGAAGAGGCAAGCGGAAUUCCUAGUGUAGCGGUGAAAUGCGUAGAUAUUAGGAAGAACACCGGUGGCGAAGGCGGCUUGCUGGGCAGAUACUGACGCUGAGGUGCGAAAGCGUGGGGAGCGAACAGG
This 749-nucleotide ribosomal RNA is filed under the name uncultured Pseudoramibacter sp. RNAcentral's name for it is "bacterial SSU rRNA". It matches the Rfam family "Bacterial small subunit ribosomal RNA", at positions 28 to 776 of the family's 1533-position model. Lineage: Bacteria; Bacillati; Bacillota; Clostridia; Eubacteriales; Eubacteriaceae. The record is from RNAcentral.